Streptomyces sp. AA4 is the source of this 375-nucleotide non-coding RNA. The record is from Rfam. Lineage: Bacteria; Bacillati; Actinomycetota; Actinomycetes; Kitasatosporales; Streptomycetaceae.
GGGGGUGAACGGUUUCGACUCUGGACGUUGAAUCAAGGGAAGCGUGCCGGUGCAGGCGAGAGACCACCGCAAGCGUCAUCGCAACCUAAUAAGCGCCAAGGCCAAUAGCCAGCGCGACUUCGCUCUCGCUGCCUGAUCGCAGUAGAGCAAGUCUGUCGGCCCGGGGUCGCCUCCGACCCGGUCGCCGGCAUCAGCUAGGAGGCUUACCUCCAGUCCCGGCCACGGGGCCUGGCAGGGAAGCAAACAGUGGCUGGGCUCGUCACUUCAGCUUGUUCGCGUGACUGAAGGGGCCAAGCAGAGACAUAGCGGACUGCGCACGGAGAAGCCUUGAGGAGGCGCUAGAGGACCCGGGUUCAAUUCCCGGCACCUCCACUC